GCGGUGAAUGUUCUGGACGAUGAGCGGGAACGACGCCUCGCCGCGGUACUUCUUGCGCGGCUCCCCCACCGUGCACCCCGGCGGGUCGGCCCAGAACGCCUUGUAGUAGGCGCCGCGGUAGUAGUAGCAGGUGAUGCGGAAGCCUCCCGGCGCCCAGAGGAUGAAGAACGCAG
This 173-nucleotide unclassified non-coding RNA is filed under the name fungal sp. Its description in RNAcentral is "partial internal transcribed spacer region". Lineage: Eukaryota; Fungi. The record is from RNAcentral.